GCCUGGGGGGCUCAGUCGGUUGAGCAUCUGACUUCGGCUCAGGUCGCGAUCUCACGGUUCAUGGGUUCGUGGGUUUGAGCCCCACGUUGGGCU
Molecule: transfer RNA, 93 nt
Filed under: Felis catus (domestic cat)
Lineage: Eukaryota; Metazoa; Chordata; Mammalia; Carnivora; Felidae
Rfam family: tRNA
About the family: Transfer RNA (tRNA) molecules are approximately 80 nucleotides in length. Their secondary structure includes four short double-helical elements and three loops (D, anti-codon, and T loops).
Source: Rfam by way of RNAcentral